RNAcentral lists this unclassified non-coding RNA (381 nucleotides) under uncultured bacterium. RNAcentral's name for it is "contains 16S-23S intergenic spacer region". The record is from RNAcentral.
UCGCGGCUUAUCACCGGCAGUCCCCUUAGAGUGCCCAACUAAAUGAUGGCAACUAAGGGCGAGGGUUGCGCUCGUUGCGGGACUUAACCCAACAUCUCACGACACGAGCUGACGACAGCCAUGCAGCACCUGUGUUCCCGUUCCCUUUCGGGCACAGCCGGGUUUCCCCAGCCUCCAGGACAUGUCAAGGGUAGGUAAGGUUUUUCGCGUUGCAUCGAAUUAAUCCACAUAAUCCACCGCUUGUGCGGGUCCCCGUCAAUUCCUUUGAGUUUUAGCCUUGUGGCCGUACUCCCCAGGCGGGGCGCUUAAUGCGUUAGCUGCGGCACGGAACCCAUGGAAUAGGCCCCACACCUAGCGCCCAUCGUUUACGGCGUGGACUAC